UGGGGAAUCUUGGACAAUGGGGGCAACCCUGAUCCAGCCAUGCCGCGUGAGUGAUGAAGGCCUUAGGGUCGUAAAGCUCUUUCGCCUGUGAAGAUAAUGACGGUAGCAGGUAAAGAAACCCCGGCUAACUCCGUGCCAGCAGCCGCGGUAAUACGGGAGGGGGUUAGCGUUGUUCGGAAUUACUGGGCGUAAAGCGCACGUAGGCGGACCAGAAAGUUGGGGGGUGAAAUCCCGGGGGCUCAACCCCGGAACUGCCUCCAAAACUAUUGGUCUAGAGUUCGAGAGAGGUGAGUGGAAUUCCAAGUGUAGAGGUGAAAUUCGUAGAUAUUUGGAGGAACACCAGUGGCGAAGGCGGCUCACUGGCUCGAUACUGACGCUGAGGUGCGAAAGUGUGGGGAGCAAACAGGAUUAGAUACCCUGGUAGUCCACACCGUAAAACGAUGAGCACUCGGUGCCGCGGGGUAUCGACCCCUGCGGUGCCUGAGCUAACGCAUUAAGUGCUCCGCCUGGGGGAGUA
Molecule: ribosomal RNA, 517 nt
Filed under: uncultured bacterium
Lineage: Bacteria
Description: bacterial SSU rRNA
Rfam family: Bacterial small subunit ribosomal RNA
Source: RNAcentral